Molecule: ribosomal RNA, 497 nt
Filed under: uncultured bacterium
Lineage: Bacteria
Description: partial 16S ribosomal RNA
Rfam family: Bacterial small subunit ribosomal RNA
Source: RNAcentral
GACGAACGCUGGCGGCGUGCCUAAUACAUGCAAGUUGAGCGAUGAAGCUUGGUGCUUGCACCAAUUUGAAGAGCAGCGAACGGGUGAGUAACGCGUGGGGAAUCUGCCUUUGAGCGGGGGACAACAUUUGGAAACGAAUGCUAAUACCGCAUAACAACUUUAAACAUAAGUUUUAAGUUUGAAAGAUGCAAUUGCAUCACUCAAAGAUGAUCCCGCGUUGUAUUAGCUAGUUGGUGAGGUAAAGGCUCACCAAGGCGAUGAUACAUAGCCGACCUGAGAGGGUGAUCGGCCACAGUGGGACUGAGACACGGCCCAAACUCCUACGGGAGGCAGCAGUAGGGAAUCUUCGGCAAUGGACGAAAGUCUGGCCGAGCAACGCCGCGUGAGUGAAGAAGGUUUUCGGAUCGUAAAACUCUGUUGGUAGAGAAGAACGUUGGUGAGAGUGGAAAGCUCAUCAAGUGACGGUAACUACCCAGAAAGGGACGGCUAACUACGUG